AACGCGAAGAACCUUACCCAGUUUUGACAUGUAGUGGAAGUAUCUAGAAAUAGAUGCGCUCUUCGGAGCCGCUACACAGGUGCUGCAUGGCUGUCGUCAGCUCGUGCCGUGAGGUGUUUGGUUAAGUCCAGCAACGAGCGCAACCCUUAUCAAUAGUUGCCAACGAUUCGGUCGGGAACUCUAUUGAGACUGCCUAGGUUAACUAGGAGGAAGGUGAGGAUGACGUCAAGUCCGCAUGGCCCUUAUAACUGGGGCUACACACGUGCUACAAUGGACGAUACAGAAGGCAGCAAAUCCGCAAGGUAGAGCAAAUCCUUAAAGUCGUUCCCAGUUCAGAUUGUAGUCUGCAACUCGACUACAUGAAGUUGGAAUUGCUAGUAAUGGCGUGUCAGCUACAACGCCGUGAAUACGUUCCCGGGCCUUGUACACACCGAUAGC
This 438-nucleotide ribosomal RNA is filed under the name uncultured bacterium. RNAcentral describes it as "bacterial SSU rRNA". It matches the Rfam family "Bacterial small subunit ribosomal RNA", at positions 958 to 1397 of the family's 1533-position model. The record is from RNAcentral.